RNAcentral lists this ribosomal RNA (253 nucleotides) under uncultured bacterium. RNAcentral's name for it is "partial 16S ribosomal RNA". It matches the Rfam family "Archaeal small subunit ribosomal RNA", at positions 474 to 727 of the family's 1478-position model. The record is from RNAcentral.
UACCCGCAGCACAAGUGGUGGUCAUUAUUAUUGGGCCUAAAGCGUCCGUAGCUGGCCUGUUAGAUGCCUGGGUAAAUCGAUGCGCUUAACGUAUCGAAUUCCGGGUAGACCGGCAGGCUCGAGACCGGGAGAGGCGUGAGCUACUCAAGGGGUAGGGGUAAAAUCCUGUAAUCCUUUGGGGAGGACCAGUGGCGAAGGCGUCACGCUAGAACGGCUCUGACAGUGAGGGACGAAGCCCUGGGGCGCAAACCGG